GAAAUGCGAUAAGUAAUGUGAAUUGCAGAAUUCAGUGAAUCAUCGAAUCUUUGAACGCACAUUGCGCCCGCCAGUAUUCUGGCGGGCAUGCCUGUUCGAGCGUCAUUUCAACCAUCAAGCCCCCGGCUUGUGUUGGGGACCUGCGGCUGCCCGCAGGCCCUGAAAAACAGUGGCGGGCUCGCUGUCACACCGAGCGUAGUAGGAUACAUUCUCGCUCAGGGCGUGCUGCGGGUUCCGGCCGUUAAACGACCUUCAUAACCCAAGGUUGACCUCGGAUCAGGUAGGAAGACCCGCUGAACUUAAGC
RNAcentral lists this unclassified non-coding RNA (305 nucleotides) under plant metagenome. RNAcentral describes it as "partial contains 5.8S ribosomal RNA, internal transcribed spacer 2, and large subunit ribosomal RNA". The stretch from base 1 to 105 matches the Rfam family "5.8S ribosomal RNA", at positions 50 to 154 of the family's 154-position model. The record is from RNAcentral.